CGGGUGAGUAACACGUGGAUAACCUACAUAUAAGACUGGGAUAACUUCGGGAAACCGGAGCUAAUACCGGAUAAUAUUUUGAACCGCAUGGUUCAAAAGUGAAAGACGGUCUUGCUGUCACUUAUAGAUGGAUCCGCGCUGCAUUAGCUAGUUGGUAAGGUAACGGCUUACCAAGGCAACGAUGCAUAGCCGACCUGAGAGGGUGAUCGGCCACACUGGAACUGAGACACGGUCCAG
This 237-nucleotide ribosomal RNA is filed under the name uncultured Staphylococcus sp. Its description in RNAcentral is "partial 16S ribosomal RNA". It matches the Rfam family "Bacterial small subunit ribosomal RNA", at positions 103 to 334 of the family's 1533-position model. Lineage: Bacteria; Bacillati; Bacillota; Bacilli; Caryophanales; Staphylococcaceae. The record is from RNAcentral.